This is a long non-coding RNA of Tripterygium wilfordii, 441 nucleotides long. RefSeq lists it as uncharacterized. The record is from RefSeq and is a predicted model, not a curated record. The transcript is spliced from 2 exons. NCBI's taxonomy places the organism in Eukaryota, Viridiplantae, Streptophyta, Magnoliopsida, Celastrales, Celastraceae.
AAAAAAAUAAAUUCCACAAAUACAAAGUUUCCCCUGUAAUUGAUACUCGUACUAUCAAUCAGAAAUUCAGAAACAGAGGGGUUACUGUUUCCCUAUUUUCGAACAAAACCCAGAAAGCCAUGAAAAUUACUUCAUUGAAAUUGCUUCUCUGCUUGGUUUUCAUACCGAUUAUUACUACAUCUGGCAUGCCAAUGUCCGGAUACGGAAUAGCGAGGGCGCCCACUCGUUGUCCGCGCAUGAUUAACUGCACAAGUGUGUGUCAAGGUUUCCCAAGCCAAUGCAUCAAUGGCCAGUGCAUCUGCGAUCCGCCGCCUCCUCCUCCUGCAUCUGCAACCCUAAAUUGAAUAGAUCACUGACUAUCUUCCUGGGUAUGUGUAUUCGGGGCUUCUCUGCUCUAUAUGUAGAGAUUGAGUUGGAAUCAGUAAAACCAUGUCUUUUUUC